Molecule: ribosomal RNA, 127 nt
Filed under: Escherichia coli
Lineage: Bacteria; Pseudomonadati; Pseudomonadota; Gammaproteobacteria; Enterobacterales; Enterobacteriaceae
Description: partial 23S ribosomal RNA
Rfam family: Bacterial large subunit ribosomal RNA
Source: RNAcentral
GCCAGGCUGUCUCCACCCGAGACUCAGUGAAAUUGAACUCGCUGUGAAGAUGCAGUGUACCCGCGGCAAGACGGAAAGACCCCGUGAACCUUUACUAUAGCUUGACACUGAACAUUGAGCCUUGAUG